AUCAAUAAAGAAAAAGGUUUGCUAAUAAUAAUUCUUUUAAGGACUGAAAUGUACCAGAUGAAAUAUAAAGUUAGAUGAUAAAAUAACGUGUGAGGUGAGUAGUCACGUGACAGCGAUUGAUAGAGGGCUCUGCCACGCCAAUAAUCUCUUCCCCGAUUCCUUAAACAAAAGCCUGGCUGUGAGUUCGCCACCCACUAAAAGAUCCGAACGCACCACCCCACUAAACACCUACCGGAGUAAUACCGUGUCGCUCUAAUUCUUCUCUACCGCCGC
RNAcentral lists this long non-coding RNA (273 nucleotides) under Musa acuminata (dwarf banana). RNAcentral describes it as "long non-coding RNA (MACU_LNC004444)". Lineage: Eukaryota; Viridiplantae; Streptophyta; Magnoliopsida; Zingiberales; Musaceae. The record is from RNAcentral.